RNAcentral lists this unclassified non-coding RNA (323 nucleotides) under Hevea brasiliensis (rubber tree). Lineage: Eukaryota; Viridiplantae; Streptophyta; Magnoliopsida; Malpighiales; Euphorbiaceae. The record is from RNAcentral.
AGAAAGUACAAAUAGCUACCAAGUUUGGUAUCCGUUUUGAAGAUGGAAAUAGGGGCAUUUGUGGUGAACCUGCGUAUGUAAGGGCUUGUUGUGAGGCCAGCUUGAAGAGACUUGAUAUCGACUGCAUUGAUCUCUAUUAUGUUCAUCGCAUCGAUACUCAGUUGCCAAUUGAAGUCACGGUUUGACAUCUUUGCUCCAAAUUUCUAUUUUUGCAGUGUACUUCAUCACUCUUUAAGUUUUAAGAAGUAGUUGCAUUAUAUGAUUUGCGUGUCUAAUUAGGUAAAUCCUAUUUCAUUGAUCAUAGCCUAUAGAGUCAAUUUUUU